GAUGAACGCUGGCGGCGUGCCUAAUACAUGCAAGUCGAGCGAACAGACGAGGAGCUUGCUCCUCUGACGUUAGCGGCGGACGGGUGAGUAACACGUGGAUAACCUACCUAUAAGACUGGGAUAACUUCGGGAAACCGGAGCUAAUACCGGAUAAUAUAUUGAACCGCAUGGUUCAAUAGUGAAAGACGGUUUUGCUGUCACUUAUAGAUGGAUCCGCGCCGCAUUAGCUAGUUGGUAAGGUAACGGCUUACCAAGGCAACGAUGCGUAGCCGACCUGAGAGGAUGAGCGGCCCCAAGGGAACUGAGCCACGGUCAAGACUCCAAGGGGAGGCAGCAGUGGGGAAUCUUCGGCAAGGGGCGAAAGCCUGAGGGAGCAAUGCCGCGUGGGUGAAGAAGGCCUUCGGGUCGUAAACCCCUUUUAUUGGGAAAGAAAAGCUGUAUAAGAAAAUAGCCCUGUCUUGACGGUACCUAAAAAAAAAGCCCCGGCUAACUACGUG
RNAcentral lists this ribosomal RNA (497 nucleotides) under uncultured bacterium. Its description in RNAcentral is "partial 16S ribosomal RNA". It matches the Rfam family "Bacterial small subunit ribosomal RNA", at positions 28 to 507 of the family's 1533-position model. The record is from RNAcentral.